UACGUAGGGUGCGAGCGUUGUCCGGAAUUAUUGGGCGUAAAGAGCUCGUAGGCGGUCUGUCGCGUCGGUCGUGAAAACUUGGGGCUUAACCCUGAGCUUGCGGUCGAUACGGGCAUCACUGGAGUUCGGCAGGGGAGACUGGAAUUCCUGGUGUAGCGGUGAAAUGCGCAGAUAUCAGGAGGAACACCGGUGGCGAAGGCGGGUCUCUGGGCCGAAAUUGACGCUGAGGAGCGAAAGCGUGGGGAGCAAACAGG
This 254-nucleotide ribosomal RNA is filed under the name uncultured bacterium. RNAcentral's name for it is "partial 16S ribosomal RNA". It matches the Rfam family "Bacterial small subunit ribosomal RNA", at positions 524 to 776 of the family's 1533-position model. The record is from RNAcentral.